Echinops telfairi (small Madagascar hedgehog) is the source of this 213-nucleotide long non-coding RNA. RefSeq lists it as uncharacterized. The transcript has 3 exons. The record is from RefSeq and is a predicted model, not a curated record. NCBI's taxonomy places the organism in Eukaryota, Metazoa, Chordata, Mammalia, Afrosoricida, Tenrecidae.
CUGUCCCCCAGCAAGUACUGACCCAACCCCAGAGACCUUUCCAAUCCUUUAUGCUGUACCCAAAUCCUGCUCUUGGCUCGGCCCGUGAGUUCAACCCACGGACAAAAACCUUUGGUCCACUUUAUCACCCUAUUGCUGUCUAAGAAGAUUACAAAGUUAAUGCCCCUUCCUACAUACUGAAUUGGCUGCAAUUGGAUAUGUGGCAUCUUUGCU